GUCUACAGCCAUACCACCCUGAAUGUUCCUGAUCUCGGAAGCUAAGCAGGGUUGGGCCUGGUUAGUACUUGGAUGGGAGGAGACUCUAUACUUUCUAUGCUUUGCCUUAUCUGGAGAAUAUCAGUUGAUUUACAUC
This 136-nucleotide ribosomal RNA is filed under the name Prolemur simus (greater bamboo lemur). The record is from RNAcentral. Lineage: Eukaryota; Metazoa; Chordata; Mammalia; Primates; Lemuridae.